Melospiza melodia melodia is the source of this 516-nucleotide long non-coding RNA. RefSeq lists it as uncharacterized. The record is from RefSeq and is a predicted model, not a curated record. Lineage: Eukaryota; Metazoa; Chordata; Aves; Passeriformes; Passerellidae. The transcript has 3 exons.
UCUGCAGCAGCCAACACUGAUUGUUCAAGUGGGGUAACUCCAGCAAUCUGAGAGUGCAGCCCCCUUUUUCUUUUUCUUUUUUUUUUUAAUUGAAGAUGGCCAAAAGAACCCAAAUUACAGGGAUCUUCCUCACCUGAGAGGCACAGAGUUUGGAAUGAGAAUUCAAGUACCAGCAAGAAGCAUCCAGAAGAGUCUGUGGAAGCAGCUACCUGGAGCAGCCCUCUCAUUGUUUUCCACCUGCAGCCUCAUGAGACUUGUCUCCAAAUAGCUGCACUGGGCCUUUCUCCUGGCACUGAGUUGUUGUUAAACAUUUUCCCAUCUGGUUUUGGCUCCACAAUGGAUUUCUACUGAACCCUGAAAGCAGUGAAUUCUUUUGACUGAAAAUGACCUGACUGAAGCAGAAUGCAAUUUGAAGAGUCUUCCACAUGUUAGUGCUAUAUCCUGGAAGCCUCCCUUAAGGAUUAGUGGUUCCUCAAAUGCAUCAAUGGCCAGGGCUGGCAGUGCUCUCACAGGCAG